Molecule: ribosomal RNA, 301 nt
Filed under: uncultured bacterium
Lineage: Bacteria
Description: partial 16S ribosomal RNA
Rfam family: Bacterial small subunit ribosomal RNA
Source: RNAcentral
CAGCAGCCGCGGUAAAACGUAGGUGGCAAGCGUUGUCCGGAAUUAUUGGGCGUGAAGGGCUCGCAGGCGGUUUCUUAAGUCUGAUGUGAAAGCCCCCGGCUCAACCGGGGAGGGUCAUUGGAAACUGGGAAACUUGAGUGCAGAAGAGGAGAGUGGAAUUCCACGUGUAGCGGUGAAAUGCGUAGAGAUGUGGAGGAACACCAGUGGCGAAGGCGACUCUCUGGUCUGUAACUGACGCUGAGGAGCGAAAGCGUGGGGAGCGAACAGGAUUAGAUACCCCAGUAGUCCCUGUCUCUUAUAC